This 465-nucleotide ribosomal RNA is filed under the name uncultured bacterium. RNAcentral's name for it is "bacterial SSU rRNA". It matches the Rfam family "Bacterial small subunit ribosomal RNA", at positions 28 to 490 of the family's 1533-position model. The record is from RNAcentral.
GACGAACGCUGGCGGCGUGCCUAACACAUGCAAGUCGAACGGAACUGUUUUGAAAGAUUUCUUCGGAAUGAAUUUGAUUUAGUUUAGUGGCGGACGGGUGAGUAACGCGUGAGUAACCUGCCUUCAAGAGGGGGAUAACAUUCUGAAAAGAAUGCUAAUACCGCAUGACAUAUCGGAAUCACAUGAUUUUGAUAUCAAAGAUUUUAUCGCUUGAAGAUGGACUCGCGUCCGAUUAGUUAGUUGGUGAGGUAACGGCUCACCAAGACCGCGAUCGGUAGCCGGACUGAGAGGUUGAACGGCCACAUUGGGACUGAGACACGGCCCAGACUCCUACGGGAGGCAGCAGUGGGGGAUAUUGCGCAAUGGGGGCAACCCUGACGCAGCAACGCCGCGUGAAGGAUGAAGGUUUUCGGAUUGUAAACUUCUUUUAUUAAGGACGAAAAAUGACGGUACUUAAUGAAUAAG